ACGAACGCUGGCGGCGUGCUUAACACCUGCAAGUCGAACGGAAAGGCCCUGCUUUUGUGGGGUGCUCGAGUGGCGAACGGGUGAGUAACACGUGAGUAACCUGCCCUUGACUUUGGGAUAACUUCAGGAAACUGGGGCUAAUACCGGAUAGGAGCUCCUGCUGCAUGGUGGGGGUUGGAAAAUUUCGGCGGUUGGGGAUGGACUCGCGGCUUAUCAGCUUGUUGGUGGGGUAGUGGCUUACCAAGGCUUUGACGGGUAGCCGGCCUGAGAGGGUGACCGGCCACAUUGGGACUGAGAUACGGCCCAGACUCCUACGGGAGGCAGCAGUGGGGAAUAUUGCACAAUGGGCGGAAGCCUGAUGCAGCAACGCCGCGUGCGGGAUGACGGCCUUCGGGUUGUAAACCGCUUUCGCCUGUGACGAAGCGUGAGUGACGGUAAUGGGUAAAGAAGCACCGGCUAACUACGUG
RNAcentral lists this ribosomal RNA (467 nucleotides) under uncultured bacterium. RNAcentral describes it as "partial 16S ribosomal RNA". It matches the Rfam family "Bacterial small subunit ribosomal RNA", at positions 29 to 507 of the family's 1533-position model. The record is from RNAcentral.